AACGCUGGCGGCGUGCCUAACACAUGCAAGUCGAACGAAGCAUUUCUCUGGAGAUCGUCGAAAGAGGACUUGACUAGUGGCGGACGGGUGAGUAAUACAUGAGCAACCUGCCCUGAGGAGGGGGACGAACAGUUGGAAACGACUGCUAAUACCGCAUGAUGUAACGGGAGGGCAUCCUCCUGUUACCAAAGAUUUAUCGCCUUGGGAUGGGCUCAUGUCUGAUUAGCUGGUUGGUGGGGUAACGGCCUACCAAGGCUGCGAUCAGUAGCCGGACUGAGAGGUUGAACGGCCACAUUGGGACUGAGAUACGGCCCAGACUCCUACGGGAGGCAGCAGUGGGGAAUAUUGGGCAAUGGGCGAAAGCCUCGACCCAGCAACGCCGCGUGAAGGAAGAAGGCCUUCGGGUUGUAAACUUCUUUUAUGAGGGACGAAGGACGUGACGGUACCUCAUGAAUAAGCCACGGCUAACUACGUGCCAGCAGCCGC
Molecule: ribosomal RNA, 486 nt
Filed under: uncultured bacterium
Lineage: Bacteria
Description: bacterial SSU rRNA
Rfam family: Bacterial small subunit ribosomal RNA
Source: RNAcentral